Molecule: long non-coding RNA, 1447 nt
Filed under: Homo sapiens (human)
Lineage: Eukaryota; Metazoa; Chordata; Mammalia; Primates; Hominidae
Description: HSALNT0384012
Source: RNAcentral
CGUUUAGUUCUUUUCGUGAGACAGGGACUCUCUCUGUCGCCCAGGCUGGAGUGCAGUGGCGCGAUCUCACGUCACUGCGGCCUCUGAAACCGCCUUUGCAAAAAUUAUCACUGAGGAAAUGACAGUGGAAGAGAUGAGACCUAAGGGGCUCCGUCGUGCUUCCCACCCUUAAGCUGUCCUGGUUCAUUCCUGGGCGUGGGCAGAGCUAACUUUGGGAAGGAUUUCAGUUCAUGGUUUCACUCUGAAUCAAAGUCAACAGCCCUUUCCAGAAAAAACCCCCGUCUUGCCUGAAGACCAGUCUGCCUUUGCAGGACUAAUAAAUCAGCUGCAAAAUUAGAAAUUGGCCGGGCGCCGUGGCUCACGCCUGUAAUCCCAGCACUUUGGGAGGCCGAGGCGGGCAGAUCAUGAGGUCAGGAGAUCGAGACCAUCCUGGCUAAUACGAUGAAACCCUGUCUCUACUAAAAAUACAAAAAAUUAGCCGGGCGUGGUGGCGGGCGCCUGUAGUCCCAGCUACUCGGGAGGCUGAGGCAGGAGAAUCGCUUGAACCUGGGAGGCAGAGGUUGCAGUGAGCCGAGAUGGAGCCACUGUACUCCAGCCUGGGCGACAGAGCGAGGCUCAGUCUGAAAAAAAAAAAGAGUCUGAACCUCCCCAAAUUGCUCCUGGGGAUAACAUCACUAUUGUAAAAUCUAAGAUCAGGCCGGGUGUGGUGGCUCACGCCUGUAAUCCCAGCACUUUGGGAGGCCAAGUCGGGUGGAUCACGAGGUCAGGAGUUUGAGACCAGCCUGGCCAGUAUGGUGAAACCCUGUCUCUACUAAAAAUACAAAAAGUAGCCUGGGGUGGUGGCGCUCGCUUGUAGUUCCAGCUACUUGGGAAGCUGAAGGAGAAGAAUCGCUUGUACCCUGGAGGUGGAAGUUGCAGUGAGCCAAGAUCAUGCCAUUGUGCUCCAGCCUGGGUGACGGAGCAAGACUCUGUCUCAAAAAGCACAACAACAACAAAAACCUAAGCUCAAAGAUCAGUGCCUGAAAUAUUUAGCAGAGCGUGCACUGGAUGGAUCAGCUGGUACCACCCAGACCGGUCAUCUGGCCCAACCGGUUCUGCCAUGCCCGCCAGGAACAGAAGAGUCUGAACGUGAGUCCAUCUCCAACCUGACCAACCAGCACUCCCCACUUCCCAAGCCUCUACCCUCCAAAUUAUCUUUAAAAAUUCCUAUCCCCAAAUGCUCCGGCUGACUGAUUUGAGUAAUAAUAGAACUCCUGUGUCCCGCACAGCCAGCUCUGCGUGAAUUACUCCUUCUCUAUUGCACUCCCCCUGUCUUGAUAAAUUGGCUCUCUCUAGGCAGCAGGCAAGUUGAACCCAUUCGGCACUUAGACCUCUGCCUCCCGGGCUCAAGUGAUUCUCCCACCUCAGCUUCCUGACUGGCUGGGACCACAGGCGCCCACCACCAAGC